GUCCUGACUUCCUUUGAUGAUGAACAGCAGUAUGGAAGUAGAGUAACUCAGCCAAGGACUUGUGAUAUUCCUGUGGCUUCUUGCUGCUUCCGAGGACUUGGGCUGAUUGGCUGGUGGAACCCCGUGGCUUCUUCCAAACCCAACUGCCAUUGCUGAUUCGUGACUGGUGAUUGCCGAAUGGACUGGACUGCUGCUGCUGCUUUGUGUUGGUGUUUGCUACAGGACUGGACUGCUGACAACGGAUAUUGGAAUAGCCCCCAAAACUAAACAGGUCCACAACCCCCGUUCCCUAAUUAACCUUUCUCUUCCAUUACCUCUGGUGGGUGGUGGACUAGAACCCUUAUUAAAAUAGGUUUUUGAGAA
Molecule: long non-coding RNA, 363 nt
Organism: Mus musculus (house mouse)
Lineage: Eukaryota; Metazoa; Chordata; Mammalia; Rodentia; Muridae
Product: predicted gene, 41637
Exons: 2
Source: RefSeq, a predicted model, not a curated record